AAAUUGAAGAGUUUGAUCAUGGCUCAGAUUGAACGCUGGCGGCAGGCCUAACACAUGCAAGUCGAACGGUAGCACAGAGAGCUUGCUCUCGGGUGACGAGUGGCGGACGGGUGAGUAAUGUCUGGGAAACUGCCUGAUGGAGGGGGAUAACUACUGGAAACGGUGGCUAAUACCGCAUAACGUCGCAAGACCAAAGAGGGGGACCUUCGGGCCUCUUGCCAUCAGAUGUGCCCAGAUGGGAUUAGCUAGUUGGUGAGGUAACGGCUCACCAAGGCGACGAUCCCUAGCUGGUCUGAGAGGAUGACCAGCCACACUGGAACUGAGACACGGUCCAGACUCCUACGGGAGGCAGCAGUGGGGAAUAUUGCACAAUGGGCGCAAGCCU
Molecule: ribosomal RNA, 385 nt
Filed under: Salmonella enterica
Lineage: Bacteria; Pseudomonadati; Pseudomonadota; Gammaproteobacteria; Enterobacterales; Enterobacteriaceae
Description: bacterial SSU rRNA
Rfam family: Bacterial small subunit ribosomal RNA
Source: RNAcentral